This is an unclassified non-coding RNA of Papio anubis (olive baboon), 148 nucleotides long. It matches the Rfam family "Metazoan signal recognition particle RNA". Rfam says of the family: The signal recognition particle (SRP) is a universally conserved ribonucleoprotein. The record is from Ensembl. Lineage: Eukaryota; Metazoa; Chordata; Mammalia; Primates; Cercopithecidae.
GCUGGGUGUAGUGGCGGGCACCUGUAAUCCCAGCUACUUGGGAGGCUGAGGUAGGAGAAUUGCUUGAACCCAGGAGACAGAGGUUGCAGUGAGCCGAGAUCAUGCCACUGCACUCUAACCUGGGCGACAGAGUGAGACUCCAUCUCAA